This 64-nucleotide transfer RNA is filed under the name Egernia richardi. RNAcentral describes it as "tRNA-Ser". Lineage: Eukaryota; Metazoa; Chordata; Lepidosauria; Squamata; Scincidae. The record is from RNAcentral.
CGAGGAGUGCCCAUACAAAGAACUGCUAAUUCCGCGCCCUGAGGUUAAACCCCCAGACUCCUUA